Molecule: long non-coding RNA, 7164 nt
Organism: Dromaius novaehollandiae (emu)
Lineage: Eukaryota; Metazoa; Chordata; Aves; Casuariiformes; Dromaiidae
Exons: 23
Source: RefSeq, a predicted model, not a curated record
GACUAGUUACGCCAUUUCCCUUCAUAUUUUUGGAAUGAAAUGAAGUUGAAAGAAAAUGUCCUUUCCUCUGAAAAGAGAGCAGAAGAGUCUAGGCACCAGAAAGCCCUCCUGUUGAUGCCCAAAGGAAGCUGUGUCUCCAGUUCAGCCUCUGUCAAGCUCUGGAUGGUGCCAGUGGCAGGAACCUGCCUGUAAUGUCCUUCUGCAGCUGUCUGCAACGAAACUCUGUCUCUGCACACGGAUGCCGGUUCCGUUCAGAUGAGAAGAAAGAAAAAGACUACUUGACUUUUUCACGGUGCCUGUGGCUCCCUUAGGACAGCAGAUUUACAUUCUUACCAUGAAGUUUGCAAAGUGAAUUAUGGAGCUGAGGCUGUGUUCUGCCGAGCGUGGUGAAGGGAUUGCAGAGCCAUGCAUUGGGUAUCUAAGGGGUGUGUGGCUGGAUUCAGUGGAUCUACCAGCACCUAGACAACUGGCAAAUGCAGCUAUUGUGAGACCUCCUUGUGUCAUGAAGCUGGUGACUGUCUGAGCAUGUUUUCAGGAGGGCUGCAGGAGGUGCCCACAGUGACCCAAGGAAUGUAUAAAUAUAUCCAGCAAAUGGAGCACACCAUUGCCAUAGAUUUCUAGAUGCUACUAAAAUACAAUUCCGGGGGCUGUUGUACUGGCAAAGCGUUCUGGAUCCAUUUUAAAGAAGACAGGGAUGGAUGUGGUGAUACUUCUGGCCUCCUAAGGAAUGGGAGCCUGAACCUUAAAAUUUUCUUCAGCCUUCAAGUAUCACUUUACCUGGUUUGUUACUAAUUGAAAAUGACUUCUGCUGGAAGAUUUGUCAUCAGUUUUCUGCAAGUGAAUCCAAACUGCAUACCUGCUGGACAACUGCCAAGGUCCAUCAGAUGUUUACGUUAAUGUUGGCUGUGUUUAACCUGACCAUUCUCAUCUGGAACACAAGUUGCUCAUAUUGAUUAUGAGAGGAAAUCUACUAUAAAUAUUUUCUUAUAAAUGUCAUAAUUCUGGCAACAGACCAUACGUCACUUUGUAUACACACAUAUGUCACUUUGUGUAUUAGAACCUGAGGCUGCCUUUUUCCUGAAAUCACUGUUUCUUCAAUAUCAGUUUCAACUGAUACAGCUUGGAGGUCAACAAAUAUCUCAUCUGGCAAAGUACAAGAAUGAAUGCACUUCAGAAAGAAUAUCCUAUCCAGAAAGAAGAGCCUUGCAUCUGUACAGGCUGUUGACCAAGUGUCUGGGGAGCAGCUCUGCUGAAAAGGAUCUGAAGUCCUGGUGGGCAGUAGACUAAAGAUGAGUCAACAGCAUGUCCUGGCAAUGAUGAAGCCUAAUGCUGUCCUGGGCAGAGCAUAGCCAGUAGAUCAAGGGGGAUGAUUAUCCCCCUUCACUUGGCACUCUUGAGACCAGAUCUAGAAUACUGCAUCCAGUUUUGAAGUGCCCCAGGACAAAAAAGACAUUGAUGAACAGGAGUGAUUUCAGCAGAGGGUCCCCAAGAUGGUUGGGAGCUCGAGCGUGUGCCCUGUGAGGAAAGCCUAAGAGACUUGAGUUUGCUCAGCCUGGAGAACAGAAGGUUUCAGGGUGCUAAUAGCAGCCUUACCAUACCUGCCAGCAAGCUAUCAAGAAGAUGGAGCCAGGCUCUUCACAGUAGUACUUGGGUGGGAGUUCAAGAUACAACAGAUAUAGGUUGAAAAAGAAAGGUUCUUGCUGGAUAGGAGGAAAACUUUAUUGUUUUGGGGACAAUAAAGCAUCGGAACAAGUUGUCUGGAGAGGCUGUGCAGUCUGCCUGCUUGGAGUUUUUCAAGACCUGACUGGAUAAUGCCUUGAACCACCUAGUGUGAUCUCACACCUGACCUUGCUUUGAGCUAGGGACCUCCUAAGGUCCUUUCCAGACUGGAUUAUUGUAUGAUUCUGUGAACUUCUACAAGAAGAAGAGUAAACUAGAGAUAAUGAGGAGGAAGUUGUGUAAGUGAAUAUAUUCUCAAAGCCUUUAAAAAUAAAUUUAAAAAAACAAGUUGAAACCAUGGACUACCAGUUUGAGCUGAUUGCUGCACAUCACCGAUACAUCACAUUGCAAUUUCAAAACAAUGCCAAACAUUCAUCUAAAGCAGCCAGAAAAUGUCAAGAGCCACGAAUCAAUCAGAGCAUGACAUUUUAAAUAAUUGCAUCCUAGACUGAGGAAAAACAGAUCUCUGAGAAGCAGGGAGAAUAACAGCCUGGAGAAUGCAGCCGAGCUAUGCCACUGGACUACGGAAGCAAGGCCAUUGACAAUCAAGAAAGCAGCAGCAGGAGAUCAGCAUAUUCCCAUGUUGCUGAAAGGAUGUUUGGAUCAGUGAAGUGCAUCUGUCAUGCUAUCUGCUGUCACCUCAUGAUCCUCCUUCAUCUCCCACUAGUUUAAUACUUGCAGGCUCAGAAAUCCCUGGCAGGCCAAAAUCUUCGGGGCGCCAUUAGAGUGUGAAGCGUAGAACUGAAAAAAUGAGAUGGAUGCUCGAAUGAGGACAGCCCCAGCUGACCUUAAGGCUCACCAUGGAGCUCAUACUCAGCCUCUCUAUCUCAGGAACGUGGAAGGUCGCCGUUUCCUCACCGUUCCCACUGCUUUCUGACUCCCCACAAACCAGCAGGGACCGAGAAUCUUUCCAUGGCUGAUUCAGGCUGACAUGUGGCUGUGGCCCAAACUGAAGCAGCGCAUUCGUCCAGUGAAGUUCCCUGCCGCUACCAUGAUCCUCUGCAACUCCAGCAUGCUCUGGCUCUUUGGUGUUCGGGAGGAGAAGGGAUGUCUCCACAUACCCUCAGAUCCACACCUUCAUCACCUGUUGCUCACUCAGAUUCAUCUGCGUCACAUCCAAGAUCUUGUGCAUCUUAACUUUUUCCAGGCUGUGUGUGAGCCACUCUGAAGUAGUUUAUACAGUGACAGAGAGAGAUUUUUCCCUAUGAAAAGACUUUUUAUGACGUGACCCAGGACAGAGCUGUGGGUAACAAGUAAGAAAAAUCAGCGAAGCCAACCAAAUGGAGUAAUCUGCAGGCUGUACUUGCAUCUACACAGACUUGUUCUUCCCACCCUACCCAAGUAAAUAGUCUUUCUUUAACCUUCUGUAAGAAAAAAAGAAUCAAAUAAUGGACAAGAUAAGAAAUCAUAAAGGAAAAAGUCUUUGGUGAAAAUUAUGUCAUGGAAGUUUAAAAAGGUGUUUUGUCUUUGGAAGCUAAUUCCAGUUCAACCUAGAGCAGCGAUUCAGGGAUUGUUUUUGUAAUAUAAGUGAAAGUGAAUGGGAGUCCUGGGAAUUCUCAAAUUAUGAUUGCCUGCAAAUCAGAUGUCAGAUUUUUGAUGUUUUCAGAGAGCUGGGGUCAUAUACUUUGUGAUGACAUAGGGCAAAGCUUCAAUUCCUGGUCAUCUAGACUGUACAGACACACACAAGGUUAUGCAGUUUAAGGAACUCUGGUAUCAGAAGAAUGCCAUGGAUCUGCCAUGGGCCUCCCUUUCACAGACACUCUGGAGACUGAUUAGGAAAUGUAGGCACACACAUGCACUGUCAGAGUAAUGCUCAGGAAUGGAAAGUGUUGUCCUGAGAUGCCUAAUACCAGUUCUGGGUCUCACUGUGGACAUUGCAUCCAGACCGCAUCAAAUUAAGCUCAACUAUUUCCGCUGCUCAGCAGAUUUCACCAAAGUACAUGGAAGAAUGGCUACAAAGACUACUCCCCAGAGAAAGGGGCAUGAGUUCUGAGGCAACAGCACAGGGCAGAUACUUAGGUUGUAUAAAUCAGCAGAUCUGCAUUCAUGUGAAAGGAACGAUGACAGCUGAGGAAGUGGCUGAAGUGGUAUCUUCACGCAACUGUUUGAAAAGCAAUGUGAAAAGGUGUUAUGAAUAACAGUGAAGCAAACCAUUUUCAGCUUUUGGAGACUUUCUUUGCUCCUUGAUUGUGAACCUCAUCCUGCAUGAGUCACACAGCCACAAGUUCCAAUGGUACAAUGUGGAUUUGUCUGUGGUAGAAAGAAAAACAUCACAGUUAAGAAAAUGUAACUAUUUGAAUCUACAAUUUAAAUCCAGGGGAUGCAACCAACACUGUAUUGCCAUAGAACUCUUUUAUUGUCUAGCCUUUUCCUGGCUGCAGAAUGAAAGCAUUGACCUUGACUGAAGAAAUCCAUAAAGACAGAAGGAAUCAAUUUUAAAAAUAAAGUGUUUGUGAAGGAGAUGAAUGGUCGUGGAGGUGGAGAGAAAGAACAGCAACCUACAUGAGAAUGUAUCAAGCAGAAGAGCAGCUGAUCAGACUGGAGAGAAGCAGAUGUGACAUGAUGUAGUGUUGCUUUCCAUGCUGAAGAAAUCCUACCUGGAGAGUUUCUUGAACAACAGAUCCAGCUGGGAUAUUGUGAAAACAGUUAUUCUGACAAGAUUUUAACUCAAAAAGGUUUCAUUUCUUCAAUCUGUCUUUGGAAACAAGAAAAGCAUCCUUUGGAACACCACGGAUCUCAGCAAUGAACCUUGGUCAAGCAAAGCAAUUGAGAAGAACGGUUUAGUUAUAUGGAUACUAUUGCAUCUGCAGAAGAAAAGCAGCCUGAUCUCCAGCGCAUGUAAAACUGAUCGGAUCUUUGUAUUUUUAAACUAGGGUCACAGAGAGGAGAAUCAGGGCUACUUUGUGUAUAAUUUAGCAGAAAGCAACUUUCUAAGACAUAAAAACUAAUUCUCAGAGUUCACAGUCUUGUCUGAGAACAGAAAUGAAAUUUCAGCCAAACCCUUUUACUUUUACCCAUCGUUGACUGACCUUUUCUCUCAGAGCAUCGCCCAGCUCUGAAGGAAGCCUCUGGAUUUUUGACAUUACAGACUCUCCUUGAAAUCUGUCUUUUUUUUUUUUCUUCUGUUCUCACUGUCACUAUGUGUUGUCCAGCCUUCAGUCAAGAGGAUCAUUUUUGUUCAGUACUAACAUCUGAUUCCUUCUACAACUAGCCAAUUUUCUUCAUUCUUUUCAGUCUGCAGAGCAUCCCAGAGGCUGUAAGAGUUGUGUUACCAUUCAGUGUCUCAGCUUUCAGCACAAGUAUGCCUUGAACCCCAAAAUAUUCAUGAUCUUGCUGUCAUGUGGGAGAUGGUCAUCAUGUGGAGUGGUGAAUACUACAUAUAGAAAAGUUUUUGAGAAUUAUUGGAAAACUGUUUUUGAAGUGUUAUUUACUCUACUGUAUUUUGCAUAUCAGUUCAUAAAAUAGUGGUUAGUGGAAUACUCUUACCCUUUCACACAUAUUUUGAAUCAGCAAAAUAUUUAAGUGAGGGUCCAAAGUGAAACCUUUGAAGCCCCUACUGCACGGAAGGUAAAGUAGCUCUACCCUUCCUUAUGUGGUGUAUGCGUUUUUGGUCUCACGGUGAGAAAACAGCUGUGUUCACAUGCAUAAUAAAACUGACAUUCAUAGUCAAAUGAUUUCAGUCACAUCCAGAUUUCCCUUUAUACCACAGUUGGAAUGGGGCUGGUAUCCUGCUUUAUACAGACCUAAAUCAAUCAGGAGGCCUUUCUCAAAAGGGUGUUUGUAUCCACUGAGUCCACUUGACAUCAUGGAAGUGUUAUAAAGGAGCCUUUAUGUGAUGGAGAAUCAAACCCUCCUAUAUUAGUGUAGAAAAACAUAAAAUAUGGUAAGUAAAUAUCUCAAAAGAAAUAAAUGAGCAUAAAGAGAAAACAAAUAAAAAGAAAGAGACCUGAGGGAAGAUUAUUUGGCUUUCAGAAUUGCCAAGGUAUUAAUCUAAGUUGCAUUUUGGUUUCUGUCCAAAAUGAUCUGAUAACCUCCUGAAGCACUCUCUCUGAAAAAAAGAGAGGCCGAGUUUGCCAGAAUCCACUAGUAUGCAGUUAAACACUUUUGAAGGCCUGCCUGGAGAGCAAUAGCUUGCAGUUUAUUUUGUUGUUUCAAGCAAUUUUUACAUCAAAUGGAAUAGCCUCCAUUUACUAUGACCCUUGGCUUGUAAAUACUUUGGUACUUUUUUUUUUAUAGUUGACUGUAGACCAGUUAAAGGUGAGCAUUCAUCAUCUAAAGGACAUUGGGCACAUGUUGCCAGGGACAUAAUUAAAACAAGCUGAUUAUUGUUUCUUAAAAAAAGUUUAUAUUUAUAUUUCUUAAAAGCAGUUCCUCUGUCAAGUUCUAUGAGCAUUUUCAGAAUAAAACAAAUCCAAGAAGAAGGAAACUCAGUUCGGCAGGAUUUCGAGAAGAAUGUGCAACAGUUUGUGCAAUGUCUUGGUCUGCAUUUAGAGUUGCCGUUUCUAAAUGGUCACUAGAUGGCCAUGACAGGCUUUCAGGCAGAUCAGAGACAAAGAGUCUGAUCCAUCCAGAGAGUGGAAGGAGUGAUUUAUGGGAAAGUGGUAAAAGAGGAAAAUAAGAGACAUGAUGUUUGGAAGCAAAGAGAAUCCUUUUCAUUAGAGGAAUGGAAAUUGGGAAAAGUGUUAUCAGGUUUCUGAUUUCCCUAGCUGUUUUAACCACUCUGAUAUAAAAUAUGACUCCUCCCUACAGUUUUGCUUCCUUAAGUCUAAGCUUAUGUCGUAGCUGUAAUAGCGGUGCUACUACUACAGCACUGAGUAAAUAAGUGGUAUGGUUAGAAGCUGAACAGUGCUAAGAGCAAACUUGAUCAAUCUGCAAAUUUGGGAAUACUAACAAAUAAUGGCAGAGCUGUGGUUUUGUUGCAAGCACUUUGCAAGCAUCAGUGCACAGUUUGGCCAUGAAUGGAGCAAAUCAAGUAGGAGAGAAAGCAUUUCAUUACCUGUUGGAAACUACAAGCUAUAUUUAAGCAGUGGAAAUGAUUUUACCUUGAAUGAACAUUGUUAUUAGGUAGUGUUUGCCCAGGUCUAACUUUGUCAGAUCCGAAGGUCUGGUAAAGUGAUCUUCCACCCAUCUGUUCCUCAAAAUCUCUCUUUCUUUGGGGCAGGCAGAGGCCAGACAACUCCAGGAUGUUGAAAGAAGAGGAGUGGGGCCUCUCUUCCAUGCCUUUCCUUGCAGCCCUGCUUCCUCACCAUUGAUUUUCUUUCUAGUGAUAGAGAAACACACUGGCCUUCACUUUACUUAUGCAUUUUAAAAUAAAAGUGCACAUUUCCUUUGUGAUGGCUGAACAGUCUUCUGUUUAUUAAAAGCUUGUUUCGCUGCCUUGAGAGUGUCUCCAUUUGUGAGAUAGCCUUUGCUAUGUGGUGUAUGAUGAUGAUUGCUAUAACAAAU